Molecule: ribosomal RNA, 158 nt
Filed under: Desmodesmus sp. CB1
Lineage: Eukaryota; Viridiplantae; Chlorophyta; Chlorophyceae; Sphaeropleales; Scenedesmaceae
Description: 5.8S ribosomal RNA
Source: RNAcentral
CAGGAAGCUUGUCGUGCUUGCUCAAGCCGGCAUCAGGGGUGGAUCUGGCCCUCCCAAUCGGACUCACCUCCGAUUGGGUUGGCUGAAGCACAGAGGCUUAAACUGGGACCCGAAUCGGGCUCAACCGCCCCAGGUAGCAACACCCUCGGGUGCCUACA